GACGUAGGGGCGAGCGUUGUCCGGAAUUACUGGGCGUAAAGGGCGCGUAGGCGGUCAAUCAAGUCAGGUGUAAAAGACCCCGGGCUCAACCGGGGGGUAGGCAUCUGAAACUGAUUGGCUAGAGGGGCAGGAGGAGGGGAGGUGGAAGUUCCCGGUGUAGCGGUGAAAUGCGUAGAUAUCGGGAGGAAUACCAGUGGCGAAGGCGACUCUCUGGACUGGCCCUGACGCUGAGGCGCGAAAGCGUGGGGAGCGAACAGGAUUAGAUACCCCCCGUAGU
RNAcentral lists this ribosomal RNA (277 nucleotides) under uncultured bacterium. RNAcentral's name for it is "partial 16S ribosomal RNA". It matches the Rfam family "Bacterial small subunit ribosomal RNA", at positions 524 to 794 of the family's 1533-position model. The record is from RNAcentral.